CGGAGCGUAGCGCAGCCUGGUAGCGCACCUCGUUCGGGACGAGGGGGUCGCAGGUUCAAAUCCUGCCGCUCCGACCA
Molecule: transfer RNA, 77 nt
Filed under: Tepidicaulis marinus
Lineage: Bacteria; Pseudomonadati; Pseudomonadota; Alphaproteobacteria; Hyphomicrobiales; Parvibaculaceae
Also listed under: 6 other names
Rfam family: tRNA
About the family: Transfer RNA (tRNA) molecules are approximately 80 nucleotides in length. Their secondary structure includes four short double-helical elements and three loops (D, anti-codon, and T loops).
Source: RNAcentral